UACAGAGGUCCCAAGCGUUGUUCGGAUUCACUGGGCGUAAAGGGUGCGUAGGCGGUCGGGUAAGUCUGGCGUGAAAUCUCCAAGCCUAACUUGGAAACUGCGUUGGAUACUAUCCGGCUCGAGGAAUGGAGGGGAGACUGGAAUACUUGGUGUAGCAGUGAAAUGCGUAGAUAUCAAGAGGAACACCAGUGGCGAAGGCGAGUCCCUGGACAACUUCUGACGCUGAGGCACGAAAGCUAGGGGAGCAAACAGG
RNAcentral lists this ribosomal RNA (253 nucleotides) under uncultured bacterium. RNAcentral's name for it is "partial 16S ribosomal RNA". It matches the Rfam family "Bacterial small subunit ribosomal RNA", at positions 524 to 776 of the family's 1533-position model. The record is from RNAcentral.